This 694-nucleotide ribosomal RNA is filed under the name Sphyracus sp. MSC-2013. Its description in RNAcentral is "eukaryotic LSU rRNA". It matches the Rfam family "Eukaryotic large subunit ribosomal RNA", at positions 402 to 810 of the family's 3401-position model. Lineage: Eukaryota; Metazoa; Arthropoda; Insecta; Coleoptera; Histeridae. The record is from RNAcentral.
AAACCGUUCAGGGGUAAACCUGAGAAACCCGAAAGUUCGAAAGGAGAGAUUCACCGCGACUCGUGUCGUCGGCGAGAACGCGUACGGACGCGUCGUUUGCUAGAGUCUCGGCUCUUGUACAACGGACGCCGAACGCGUUCCGUGACGGACGUGCGAUCGCGUGCACUUCUCUCCCUGUAGGACGUCGCGACCCGUUGGGCGUCGGUCUACGAUCGGUGGUGGAGACCUGGAGGCGAUCGCCUUAAAACGAUCUCGUCCUCUAGAACCCACCGCAUCCGGCCGACUCGCUCGACGGUAGUAACUAGAGGCGCGGGGCCGCGACUUGUUCGCGUCCGGCCCGUCGCAAGCAAGUUCGGUAAUUCGGUGUACACGGCGACCUCGUGUCUCCGGUCCCGGAUCCUGACUACUGUUGGCGACGGCGUUCUCGGACAGACUCCGUAUACACGCCUGUCAGCGACGCUAUCGCUUUGGGUACUUUCAGGACCCGUCUUGAAACACGGACCAAGGAGUCUAGCAUGCACGCGAGUCUUAGGGACUCUACGACUAAACCUAAAGGCAAAAUGAAAGUGAAGGUCCGCCUCGGCGCGCGACCUAGGGAAGACGGGGACGUACGAAAUUUUGUUUCGUCGUUCUCGGCACUCCCGGGGCGUCUCGAUCUCAUCGCGAGAUGAGGCGCACCCAGAGCGUACACGCU